GUCUAGCUAGUUUUAGCCGGUUUUAUACGUAACCCCUGCAGAAAAAUACGUUAGAGAGCAUCAGUUGGCUAAAAAAUUACCAAAAAUACCAAGCCUUACUGGCUGGGGGUCGCCGACUGCGGCGGCUUCCCUAGUCCUUCUUCGCUGCUAGGGUUCCUUCUUCGACGAACCUGUAUAGAAAAGAAUGGUGAAUAAAAUGAUAAAAAAAUUACGUGAAACGGGAAACGGAAAGG
RNAcentral lists this long non-coding RNA (233 nucleotides) under Carica papaya (papaya). RNAcentral's name for it is "long non-coding RNA (CPAP_LNC002885)". Lineage: Eukaryota; Viridiplantae; Streptophyta; Magnoliopsida; Brassicales; Caricaceae. The record is from RNAcentral.